CUUUCUACUCCUUGGAUGUAAGUGGGAUGGCUGGCUCUUCAUUCUGAACUGUGAAAGUAGGGAAGCCUCCUAGUGAUGGCGACAUGGAACACUGGAGGCAACCUGUGUCCCAGAUCUGACUAUGGAAUCAUCACACCGUCUCCAAACUACCUCAAUCCAGACUUUCAUGCAAAAAGAAAUGAAGAUUCAUCAUGCUUAUACUUUAGGAGGAAAGCAGAGGGAGUCUUGAAACAGCAGAAGAGGAGACAGCAAUGCAAUCACAGAAGCAGAGAUUGGAGCAAUGUGGCCACGCCACAAGGAAUGCCCACAGCACCAGAAGCUGAAAGAGGCAAGAAAUGGAUUCUCCCUAAGAGCCUCUGGAAGGAACACAGCCUUCUUGGUUUGGGCCCAGUGAAACUCACUAUAGAACCUCUGGCCUCCAGAACUGUGAGAGCAUACAUUUCUGUUGGUUUAAAUCAGCAAGUUUGUGGUAAUUUGUUACACCCUAGGUUUACGGUCUAAUACACCACCUCAGAUGAGGAGAAUGAGAACUCCAUUAUGGGAAAGGUAAAAUGAAAAUUUAGAAGUGGCUAAGUUGCCAGAUAACUCUGAAACCAUAACAGCUCUGAGCUUCCUUCAUCAGACUUUUUUAAAUGAGAAAGGGAUAAACUUCUGUCUUUCAGUCACAGUUAUUUGGAGUUUCUUUUAUAGGCAGUCAAACCUAUAAAUAACCGGCAAAUAUGUUAUUUAACCCUCUAUCUCUAAGCCAAGAUAUAACUAAAUAAUGUAAAAUAAAUAGAUGUCCACCCAAGGAAUACGAUUUAGUAUCACGUUUUAAAUAUAGUAAUAGUAAGUACAUAAAGAAAAUCUCUUCACUGAGCUUGGUACCACUUAUUUCCAUGACUGGACUCAAGAUAUGUGGAAAUGAUACUUUUACUGCCAAAGACUUUAUAGGUUAUAGGAAUGGUUUCAGUGGUGUUAAAUACAUUACACCAGUAAUGACAUGCUUUAUGGAAAAUAGAAAUUCUAGGUGGGUAGGGGGUAGUUCUUGGACACAUUGAAACAUGGUUUAAAAUAACUCAGUCUUUGACCAGGCUUUUCUUCUGUUCAUUGGGAAUUAUUUCAUUGCCCACUCUCUAUUAUGUUUGUCUAUCAACACAGGCUUUGCUUUGAUUUCGGAUCCAAGGUUCACCAUCUGCAGCAAGUUGUGUAAUCUCUACAAGCCUCAGUUUCCUUGUAGGUAGAAUGGAACUACCUCAUAAGUUCUCACAUAAAUGAGGUAAGGCUUUCACAGAGUGCCUGCCACAGUGCAAGAGUUUAAUAAUAGGAAAGUCGUCAUCGCUAUUGCUAUCUGGAUGAGACAGGCCUAUUAAGGAACCAAGAAAAGGACUAACAAAUAUAGUUUUUUGUUUGUUUUUGUUUUGCCUACUGUUGCUACCUUUGAAGAACAAAUAUAGAUUUUGACACUAUUAACAGAAGGCAAUUUGGAAGAUCAAAUGUAAGUCUUUUAGUCAUCCAUUCCUACCAAAAGCUUGUUUCAUACAAAAUUUUAGUUUGUAUGAAGUGUUCUUCUGGUACAACUUUUUAGUCACCAUGGGAAUUUUAUUUCAACAAAGUAUUAAACCAUGAGGCAUUUAUUUUGAAUAUAGUUAGCAAAAAGAGUGAUUGGGAGCUGAAGAGAGAUAAGGAAAGUGGAAUGAAAGGCAGAGAGAAGAAAAGAUUUGAGCAAUGCAGCUUCAGGCAAGAUGGGGAAGGAAGAAGAGUUGAAGCAAGUAUGAAAGGGACUAAGAGAGCAAAACGAAGUAGUUUGUAGGAUACCAUGGGAAAUAAUGAACUACAUAGCCUUUGCACUGGCAUUGAGUCACAGAAAUACCUAUUCACAUAGCUGCAGAUGACUGAAAGCUUUUUGUCAUUGUUGUUCAUCUCAAACAUCAAAACUAUUCUGUAGAUCUGGAAUUAUGGUCAGACACAGGUGAAUGUCAACAACUCUGGGUCAAAAAAAUCAGAAAGCCAUUUAAAUCAACUAAGGACCAGGAAGGUAGGAUAGAGAACCAGCAUAGCUGAGAUUGUACUGCAAGUGGUUAUUGUGCUAAGUGCAUGAAUACGCCUCUCUCGUUUAAGUCAUACAAAAAUCCUGCACCACUAUUUUACAUAAGAAAUGUGAAAUAAAUUUUUUAUCUAAGAUGAAAUAAUAAUAUUGAUAUAUUAGGGAUUCUAUUAACGAGAAUGUUAAAUUAAGAUGAGUAUGUUAUAUUAAAAUCCAUGUUCCAUUAAUUAC
This 2257-nucleotide long non-coding RNA is filed under the name Homo sapiens (human). RNAcentral's name for it is "HSALNT0204276". Lineage: Eukaryota; Metazoa; Chordata; Mammalia; Primates; Hominidae. The record is from RNAcentral.